GACGAACGCUGGCGGCGUGCCUAAUACAUGCAAGUUGAGCGAUGAAGCUUGGUGCUUGCCCCAAUUUGAAGAGCAGCGAACGGGUGAGUAACGCGUGGGGAAUCUGCCUUUGAGCGGGGGACAACAUUUGGAAACGAAUGCUAAUACCGCAUAAUAACUUUAAACAUAAGUUUUAAGUUUGAAAGAUGCAAUUGCAUCACUCAAAGAUGAUCCCGCGUUGUAUUAGCUAGUUGGUGAGGUAAAGGCUCACCAAGGCGAUGAUACAUAGCCGACCUGAGAGGGUGAUCGGCCACAUUGGGACUGAGACACGGCCCAAACUCCUACGGGAGGCAGCAGUAGGGAAUCUUCGGCAAUGGACGAAAGUCUGACCGAGCAACGCCGCGUGAGUGAAGAAGGGUUUCGGAUCGUAAAACUCUGUUGGUAGAGAAGAACGUUGGUGAGAGUGGAAAGCUCAUCAAGUGACGGUAACUACCCAGAAAGGGACGGCUAACUACGUG
Molecule: ribosomal RNA, 497 nt
Filed under: uncultured bacterium
Lineage: Bacteria
Description: partial 16S ribosomal RNA
Rfam family: Bacterial small subunit ribosomal RNA
Source: RNAcentral